This 253-nucleotide ribosomal RNA is filed under the name uncultured bacterium. RNAcentral describes it as "partial 16S ribosomal RNA". It matches the Rfam family "Bacterial small subunit ribosomal RNA", at positions 524 to 776 of the family's 1533-position model. The record is from RNAcentral.
UACAGAGACUGCAAGCGUUGUUCGGAUUCAUUGGGCGUAAAGGGUGCGCAGGCGGCUCGUUAAGUCGGAUGUGAAAUCUCACAGCCUAACUGUGAUAGGUCAUUCGAAACUGGCGGGCUUGAGGGCUGGAGAGGAGACUGGAAUAGUCGGUGUAGCGGUGAAAUGCGUAGAGAUCGUAAGGAAGACCAGUGGCGAAGGCGGGUCUCUGGACAGUUCCUGACACUGAGGCACGAAGGCUAGGGGAGCAAACGGG